Molecule: long non-coding RNA, 1241 nt
Organism: Acipenser ruthenus (sterlet)
Lineage: Eukaryota; Metazoa; Chordata; Actinopteri; Acipenseriformes; Acipenseridae
Exons: 3
Source: RefSeq, a predicted model, not a curated record
AAAGGGGAGGUUUAUUGCAUGGCUUUUUAUUUUUAUCUGUCCGUUUUAUUUACUACACUGUAUGUUGGUGCAUGUACGUGCCACUGUCUUUUCGUAUGAACUUUAAAAUGUGUGAUCGACGGCUCUUUAUACGUUUAUUCAACAACUUCAACAACAAAAGCAGGACAAUGCUCCAUGCCACAUAGCCAGGUCAAUCAAGGUGUGGAUGGAGGACCACCAGAUCAAGACCCUGUCAUGGCCAGCCCAAUCUCGAGACCUGAACCCCAUUGAAAACCUCUGGAAUGUGAUCAAGAGGAAGAUGGAUGGUCACAAGCCAUCAAACAAAGCCGAGCUGCUUGAAUUUUUGCGCCAGGAGUGGCAUAAAGUCACCCAACAUCAAUGUGAAAGACUGGUGGAGAGCAUGCCAAGACGCAUGAAAGCUGUGCUUGAAAAUCAGGGUUAUUCCACCAAAUAUUGAUUUCUGAACUCUUCCUAAGUUAAAACAUUAGUAUUUUGUUGUUUAAAAAUGAAUAUGAACUUAUUUUCUUUGCAUUAUUCGAGGUCUGACAACACUGCAUCUUUUUUGUUAUUUUGACCAGUUGUCAUUUUCUGCAAAUAAAUGCUCUAAAUGACAAUAUUUUUAUUUGGAAUUUAGGAGAAAUGUUGUCAGUAGUUUAUAGAAUAAAACAAAAAUGUUCAUUUUACCCAAAACACAUACCUAUAAAUAGUAAAACCAGAAAAACUGAUAAUUUUGCAGUGGUCUCUUAAUUUUUUCCAGAGCUGUAUAUUACAGCGAUAUUCACAUUCCCUUAUCUAACGUAAUACUGUCGAAUAUAUCCGAUCUACAUCAAUGUAAAUUAUACGUACAAAAGUCAUUUUAAAUUAUGCAUUUUUGUUAGGCUAUUGGAUCUAAAGCGAUAUUCACAUCAUCUUAUCUAGCAGCAUACUACCGAAUAAAUCCGAUCUACUAAUUGAUAUCAAUUAUACUUACAGCAUUAAUUUUAAAUUAUUUAUUGUUCAUUAAUAUCUGAUUUACUUAUUUCCUGGCUCGAUUUACUUAUUUCCUGCUGAUUUGGAUCAUUCUAGACACCACCUGAUACGUGAGCACAACAAACUCAGCAAUGCAUUGAUCAUUAAUACAUUUUAAAAACAAAACAUCAAAGUCACAGCAUGCAUUAUAUUCGGGCCGGGACAUUUCAAUUUGAUGAGAAUAAGCAGAAUGUGACAUUAACAGAAGUGACAUUAAAUUUGACUAUAUUAUG